UCCAGAGAGGUUUUUUUAUUUUAAAUGUUUUAAUUUAACUGGGCAAGUCCUUGAAAAUAAGAAUUUGUUCUUAACUGACUUGCCUAGUUAAAUAAAGGUUAAAUAAAAAAAUCAAAUAAAAAGUCAGCUAAGAACAAAUUCUUAUUUACAAUGACGGCCUACCCUGACCAAACCCUAACCCAGACGACACUUGGCCAAUUGUGCACCGCCCUAUGGGACUCCCAAUAACGGCCGGUUGUGAUACAGCCUGGAAUCGAACCAGGGUCUGUAGUGACGCCCCUAGCACUGAGAUAUAGUGCCUUCGACCGCUGCGCCACUCGGGAGCCCAUGAACAGUUGCGGUUCUACAUGGAUCCCAAAAGGCUUCUACCUGGAACCAAAAAGGGUCCUCCUAUAGGGACAGCCGAAGAUCCCUUUUCAAAGAGUGUAGGACACAUCAGGUAUUCUCUCAUGCCGGGUUACAAACAGUGUUUCUCAGUUCACCAUCAGGUGAGACCAUACAAAAUGCCUAUUCUCCAAACAGCUACCAUGGUCAGGUGCCAUGGUCAGGUGAGACCAUACAAAAUCCCUAUUCUCCAAACAGCUACCAUGGUCAGGUGCCAUGGUCAGGGCCGUAACCAAGAUUUGAGUUUUAGUAAGGUCUGGAAGGAGGGGGGGCUGUUUCUGAAAGUUGAUGCUCAUUUACUACAUUUAUUUACAAUUAAAAAAACUUUAAUAUGCUAUUUGGAGAAGAGCAAAAACAAGCGAAAAUGACCCCAGCCAUUAUCACCUUUGCUGCUGAAGGUCUACAAAAACAUGGCCUAUUAGUUAUACAAUUGUAAUGUUACACCCCUGAAAGUGAGAAAUAUUAGAAAUAAUUCACACUGACACGUAGCAUCAGAGACGAAACAGAAACCUGACAGUAAGACGUGUAUAUGGGAGGCGAAGUCAAGUGCAGGACAGCGGAGUAUAAUAAACAGGUGCACUUUAAUACCGGUUACCAAAUGACAGCACAUAACACAUACUAGUGCCAAAAACACGGUCUAAAACAAAAGUGACGCGCCUGACAAAUAUCCACGUAACAAUAAACAAUCACUCACAAAUACAACAUGGGGAACAGAGGGUUAAAUAAUAAACGAGUAAUUGGUUGAGUGAAGCCAGGUGUGAUAAGACAAAGACAGAACAAAUGGAAAAUGAAAAGUGGAUCGGUGGUGGCUAGAAAGCCGGUGAAGUCGACCGGAACCACUGUACUCACCUCUCUGCUUGCUUCCUCCCCUUCACCAGCCACACCACUGAUCACCACGUCACUGAUCACCACGUCACUGUCUGUCUCAGUAGCCUAUGAGCAAUUAGUAAUGUAUUUCUUACUCCGUUUAACAUUAGCUUCUACUUCAUCCUAGCUGACUAAGUAAU
RNAcentral lists this long non-coding RNA (1391 nucleotides) under Salmo salar (Atlantic salmon). RNAcentral describes it as "lncRNA (ENSSSAG00000094405.1)". Lineage: Eukaryota; Metazoa; Chordata; Actinopteri; Salmoniformes; Salmonidae. The record is from RNAcentral.